RNAcentral lists this ribosomal RNA (357 nucleotides) under Triticum aestivum (bread wheat). RNAcentral's name for it is "partial small subunit ribosomal RNA". Lineage: Eukaryota; Viridiplantae; Streptophyta; Magnoliopsida; Poales; Poaceae. The record is from RNAcentral.
CCUCCACCCAAGGGUGAUCCCGUGUUUGAGCUUAAACCAUUACCUGAUACUCUUAAAUAUGCUUAUCUUGAUGAAAAGAAGAUAUAUCCUGUUAUUAUUAGUGCUAAUCUUUCAGAGCAAGAAGAAGAGAAAUUAUUGAAAACUCUGAAGAAGCACCGUGCUGCUAUUGGAUAUACCCUUGAUGAUCUUAAGGGCAUUAGUCCCACUUUAUCCCAACACAAAAUAAAAUUGGAGAAAGGCGCUAAACCGAUUGUUGAUCACCAACCCAGGUUAAAUCCUAAGAUGAAAGAAGUGGUAAGAAAAGAAAUACUAAAGCUUAUGGAGGCAGGUAUAAUCUAUCCCGUUGCUAAUAGUUAG